UUCCCCUAGUAACUGCGAGUGAAGCGGGAAAAGCUCAANUUUAAANUCNGGCGNUCUUUGGCUGUCCGAGUUGUANUCUAGAGAAGUGUUAUCCNCGCUGGACCGUGUACAAGUCUCCUGGAAUGGAGCGUCAUAGAGGGUGAGAAUCCCGUCUUUGACACGGACUNCCAGGNCUUUGUGAUGCGCUCUCAAAGAGUCGAGUUGUUUGGGAAUGCAGCUCAAAAUGGGUGGUAAAUUCCAUCUAAAGCUAAAUAUUGGCGAGAGACCGAUAGCGAACAAGUACCGUGAGGGAAAGAUGAAAAGAACUUUGGAAAGAGAGUUAAACAGUACGUGAAAUUGCUGAAAGGGAAACGCUUGAAGUCAGUCGCGUUGGCCGGGGAUCAACCUUGCUUUUGCUGGGCGUACUUUCCGGUCGACGGGUCAGCAUCAAUUUUGACCGUUGGAUAAAGGCUGAGGGAAUGUGGCUCCUUCGGGAGUGUUAUAGCCCUUGGUCGCAUACAACGAUUGGGAUUGAGGAACUCAGCA
RNAcentral lists this ribosomal RNA (525 nucleotides) under Psilocybe cyanescens. RNAcentral describes it as "eukaryotic LSU rRNA". It matches the Rfam family "Eukaryotic large subunit ribosomal RNA", at positions 75 to 600 of the family's 3401-position model. The record is from RNAcentral. Lineage: Eukaryota; Fungi; Basidiomycota; Agaricomycetes; Agaricales; Agrocybaceae.